RNAcentral lists this ribosomal RNA (914 nucleotides) under uncultured marine archaeon. Its description in RNAcentral is "bacterial SSU rRNA". It matches the Rfam family "Archaeal small subunit ribosomal RNA", at positions 1 to 921 of the family's 1478-position model. The record is from RNAcentral.
UUCCGGUUGAUCCUGCCGGAGGCUACCGCUAUUGGAGUUCGAUUAAGCCAUGCGAGUCCAGAGCUUUCGGAGCUCGGCGUACCGCUCAGUAACACGUGGGUAACCUGCCCUAUGCUGGAUAAUAACCUCGGGAAACUGAGAAUAAUGAUCCAUAGUUCACUACGCCUGGAACGGUGAGUGGAUGAAAGCUCCGGCGGCAUAGGAUGGGCCUGCGGCGUAUCAGGUUGUAGGGGGUGUAACGUACCCUCUAGCCCUCUACGCGUACGGGUGUUGGGAGACAUAGCCCGGAGAUGGAUUCUGAGACACGAAUCCAGACCCUACGGGGUGCAGCAGGCGCGAAAACUUGGCAAUGCGAGAAAUCGUGACCAGGGAACUCCAAGUGCAUCGGGUAAGACCGGUGCUUUUCUUGACUCUAAAUAGGUCUUGGAAUAAGGGGUGGGUAAGGACGGUGCCAGCCGCCGCGGUAAUACCGGCGCCUCAAGUGGUAGUCGCUUUUAUUGGGCCUAAAACGUCCGUAGCCGGUCUGAUACAUUCGUGGGUAAAUCAACCAGCUUAACUGGUUGAAUUCUGCGAGGACGGUCAGACUUGGGACCGGGAGAGGUGUGGGGUACGCUCAGGGUAGGGGUAAAAUCCUGUCAUCCUGAGAGGACCACCUGUUGCGAAGGCGCCACACUAGAACGGAUCCGACGGUCAGGGACGAAGCCUAGGGGCACGAACCGGAUUAGAUACCCGGGUAGUCCUAGGUGUAAACGCUGUGGACUUGAUGUUGGGGGUGCUCCGAGCACUCUCAGUGUCGAAGCGAAGGUGAUAAGUCCACUGCCUGGGAAGUACGGUCGCAAGGCUGAAACUUAAAGGAAUUGGCGGGGGAGCACCGCAACCUGAGGAUUGUGCGGUUUAAUUGGAGUCAACGCCGG